Molecule: ribosomal RNA, 465 nt
Filed under: uncultured bacterium
Lineage: Bacteria
Description: partial 16S ribosomal RNA
Rfam family: Bacterial small subunit ribosomal RNA
Source: RNAcentral
GACGAACGCUGGCGGCGUGCUUAACACAUGCAAGUCGAACGGAAAGGCCCCUUUGGGGGUACUCGAGUGGCGCACGGGUGAGUAACACGUGAGUAACCUGCCCUUGACUUCGGGAUAACUUCAGGAAACUGGGGCUAAUACCGGAUAGGAAUCCUUGCUGCAUGGUGGGGGUUGGAAAGCUUCGGCGGUUUUGGAUGGACUCACGGCUUAUCAGCUUGUUGGUGGGGUAGUGGCUUACCAAGGCUUUGACGGGUAGCCGGCCUGAGAGGGCGACCGGCCACAUUGGGACUGAGAUACGGCCCAGACGCCUACGGGAGGCAGCAGUGGGGAAUAUUGCACAAUGGGCGGAAGCCUGAUGCAGCAACGCCGCGUGCGGGAUGACGGCCUUCGGGUUGUAAACCGCUUUCAGCAGGGGCGAAGCUUGUGGUGACGGUACCUGCAGAAGAAGCACCGGCUAACUACGUG